RNAcentral lists this ribosomal RNA (854 nucleotides) under uncultured bacterium. RNAcentral describes it as "bacterial SSU rRNA". It matches the Rfam family "Bacterial small subunit ribosomal RNA", at positions 8 to 853 of the family's 1533-position model. The record is from RNAcentral.
AGAGUUUGAUCCUGGCUCAGAUUGAACGCUGGCGGCAGGCUUAACACAUGCAAGUCGAACGGUAACAGGGAGGAGCUUGCUUCUUUGCUGACGAGUGGCGGACGGGUGAGUAAUACUUGGGAAUCUGGCUUAUGGAGGGGGAUAACUACGGGAAACUGUAGCUAAUACCGCGUAAUAUCUUCGGAUUAAAGGGUGGGACUUUCGGGCCACCUGCCAUAAGAUGAGCCCAAGUGGGAUUAGGUAGUUGGUGGGGUAAAGGCCUACCAAGCCGACGAUCUCUAGCUGGUCUGAGAGGAUGACCAGCCACACUGGAACUGAGACACGGUCCAGACUCCUACGGGAGGCAGCAGUGGGGAAUAUUGCACAAUGGGGGGAACCCUGAUGCAGCCAUGCCGCGUGAAUGAAGAAGGCCUUCGGGUUGUAAAGUUCUUUCGGUGAUGAGGAAGGUGUUUGUUUUAAUAGAGCAAGCAAUUGACGUUAGUCACAGAAGAAGCACCGGCUAACUCCGUGCCAGCAGCCGCGGUAAUACGGAGGGUGCGAGCGUUAAUCGGAAUGACUGGGCGUAAAGGGCACGCAGGCGGUGACUUAAGUGAGAUGUGAAAGCCCCGAGCUUAACUUGGGAAUUGCAUUUCAUACUGGGUCGCUAGAGUAUUUUAGGGAGGGGUAGAAUUCCACGUGUAGCGGUGAAAUGCGUAGAGAUGUGGAGGAAUACCGAAGGCGAAGGCAGCCCCUUGGGAAUAUACUGACGCUCAUGUGCGAAAGCGUGGGGAGCAAACAGGAUUAGAUACCCUGGUAGUCCACGCUGUAAACGCUGUCGAUUUGGGGAUUGGGCUUAGAGCUUGGUGCCCGUAGCU